NNCGGGGUGGAGCAGCUCGGUAGCUCGCUGGGCUCAUAACCCAGAGGUCGCAGGUUCAAAUCCUGUCCCCGCUAC
This 75-nucleotide transfer RNA is filed under the name Streptomyces griseus. Its description in RNAcentral is "tRNA-Met". It matches the Rfam family "tRNA". From Rfam's summary of the family: Transfer RNA (tRNA) molecules are approximately 80 nucleotides in length. Their secondary structure includes four short double-helical elements and three loops (D, anti-codon, and T loops). The record is from RNAcentral. RNAcentral also lists the same sequence under 1 other name. Lineage: Bacteria; Bacillati; Actinomycetota; Actinomycetes; Kitasatosporales; Streptomycetaceae.